This 484-nucleotide ribosomal RNA is filed under the name uncultured bacterium. RNAcentral's name for it is "partial 16S ribosomal RNA". It matches the Rfam family "Bacterial small subunit ribosomal RNA", at positions 29 to 507 of the family's 1533-position model. The record is from RNAcentral.
AUUGAACGCUGGCGGCAUGCUUUACACAUGCAAGUCGAACGGCAGCGCGGGCUUCGGCCUGGCGGCGAGUGGCGCACGGGUGAGUAAUACAUCGGAACGUGCCCAGUCGUUGGGGAUAGCUCGGCGAAAGCCGGAUUAAUACCGCAUACGACCUGAGGGUGAAAGCGGGGGAUCUUCGGACCUCGCGCUAUUGGAGCGGCCGAUGGCAGAUUAGCUAGUUGGUGGGGUAAAGGCCUACCAAGGCGACGAUCUGUAGCUGGUCUGAGAGGACGACCAGCCACACUGGGACUGAGACACGGCCCAGACUCCGACGGGAGGCAGCAGUGGGGAAUGUUGGACAAUGGGCGAAAGCCUGAUCCAGCAAUGCCGCGUGUGUGAUGAAGGCCUUCGGGUUGGAAAGCACUUUUGGCGGGAACGAAAAGGACUGUGCCAAUACCACGGUUCGAUGACGGUACCCGCAGAAUAAGCACCGGCUAACUACGUG